AUAGUUGUGUAUUCUUCGUUGUGGGUUCUUCUAGUUGUGGCAUGUGGGACGCUGCCUCAGCAUGGUCUGAUGAGCAGUGCCAUGUCCGCGCCCAGGAUUCGAACUAACGAAACACUGGGCUGCCUGCAGCGGAGUGCGUGAACUUAACCACUCGGCCACGGGGCCAGCCCCAACUUUUUCUAAUUUUUUAUUUUACACAAUUUCCCUCUCCCAUAUUUACUUAAAUGGUUGCAGGCAUGGUGUCUGUGUGUGCACGCACACACAUAUUUGUUGUAGCAUACGUUCUUUUUUUUAUAAAUGGCUUUAUUGAAAUAUAGUUCACAUAUCCUAUAAUUUAUCCAUUUAAAGUGUACAAUUCAAUGGUUUUUAGUAUAUUCACAGAGUGUACAACAAUCACCACAGUUUUUGAAAAUUUGAAUUACCCCAAAGAGUGUGUUUAAUUUUCACGUAGUGUGUUCGGUUUUAACAUAGUUGUGAAUUUCCCAAAUUUCUUUUAUUAGUUUCUAAUUUCAUUUUAUUGUGACCCGAGAACAUAGUUUGUAUGAUUUCAGUUCUUUGAACUUUGGGGGAUUGUGUUAUGGCCUAGUAUAUGUCUUUUCCUGGAGAAUGUUCCAUCGGCACCUGAGAAGAAAGCGUUCUGCUACUGUUGGGUGGAGUGUUCUGCAGAUGUGUUACAUCUAGUUGGUUUACCGAUUGGUCGUCUUCAAUUCCCUUGUUGAUCGUCUGCAUGCUUUUCUAUCCAUUAUCCAUUAUCCCCUCCAAUAUUGGGGGACUGAAGUCUCCAGUUACUAUUGAUGCAUUGUCUAUUUCUCCCUUCAGUCCGUCAGUUUUGCUUCAUGUAUUUCGGGGCUUCCUGUGAGAUCCUGUAGCCCCAGCCUGGGAGCUGGGGAGAGGGAGCCCAGUGGUCUUAGUGGCACCCCCUGGAGUAGAGUUUCUAUCUUGCUGAGCUGAUUGUAACUCAGAUGCAGAUUCUGUCUAUUCUUACUGACAUUUAGUAGAUUUUCUUGAAUAAAUGUUUUUCUAUUUGCUGUAUGCCCUGAGGAAAAUUUCCAGAGAUUUUAAAUGGCUGUUUUUUGUUAAUAAAUUUCGCCAGUUAUAAUUGUUCCGCUGGGGGGAAGGUCCAUGGUUCUCCUUAUGCUGCUAUUCUGGAAGUUUCCUUCCUGUAUGUUCUUUUAAAUCAUUAAAAAACAAAAGAACUCACAACAUUUUAGAUACAAGUCCUUAUAUGUCAGAAAGGAACUUGAUAAACGAAACCUUGCUUCCCAGGAAUCCUGAGAAUUGCUGAAAAUCUGAUGUCUUCUAAAACAAUCUGAGGAACCAGGGAAGUAAAAUGAAUGACACAAAUGUGACUUCCAAGGAUUACCAUUAUGUUUUAGACCAGUAAUUCCUCUGGAGUUAAAAGUUUCUAAACAUUAGAAACAAAUGUUAAGUAAAUGAUUUAAAUUUACUUAUUUGCCCAUUAAAUGAUUGACUCAUCAACUUUGCUUAACAUUAAAUAGACAAACAAAACACAUGUGGAUUUACCCACAGACUUCCUUGUGGUAGAGACCGUCCUGCUCACUUAGUUCUGCUGGUUGAUUUAUAUAGAUAGAUAGAUAAAUAGAUACAUUUGGGGGGACUGGAUAAACAUUCCUGCUUUUUGUAAUGCCGGUGUAUCAAAUGCAUUUGACUCUAACUUAUCCUGUGAUUUUUAACUGUUAACUUUCCAUUUACCACAAUCCUGGUGCAUAACAUUGUUUAUCUAAUUACUUGCUCAGAUGUGUGUAUAAAUUAUACAGGUAAGAAUAAAUGGCUCUGGAGACCAUUUUUAGUAAAAAUAUUGGUUUUAUGGUCCUGAUCUGACAUUUUCAGUUUUGGUCAUGCAACUUCUUUCCACUGGGCACCCACCCUCUUUCAAUACCUACAUUGUCUUUUCAUUUCUGUUCUCUGUGAGGCUACUGAUGUAUUUUUGUGUCUCAUUUUUUGGCUAUUGUUCACUGUUACAAGAUUGCUUCCCAAUAAAUCUCAUAUGCCCUUCCUCCCCCUUUUUUUGUGGAUGUAAAGUAGUGACCCAUCGGAGCGCCCUAUCACUCAUUAGCAAUGGAAUGUUCUCUAUAAAGUAUGGUUUCUGUCAACAUCGGCUGCUAACUCCGUUUACACUCUUUGAAUAUAAUUAGUCUUUCUUUCUUACAUAGUGCAAGUAGUCAAUCAUUUCAUGGGACCCUUGCGAGUGUCCUUUCUCUGGCCUGUGGAUUAUUGUCUGUGUUUAGGUUUUUUGUUGUUGUUUGUUUGUUUCAAACAAUU
Molecule: long non-coding RNA, 2283 nt
Organism: Equus caballus (horse)
Lineage: Eukaryota; Metazoa; Chordata; Mammalia; Perissodactyla; Equidae
Source: Ensembl